UAAAUGGCCGCGGUAUAUUGACUGUGCAAAGGUAGCAUAAUAAUUAGUUUAUUAAUUGUAAGCUUGAAUGAAUGAUUGGACGAAAUUUACACUGUUUUAUACACAAAUUUUGAAUUUUAUUUUUCAUUUAAAAAGAUGAAAUAUUUUUAAAGGACGAGAAGACCCUAUAGAGUUUAAUAAAGGUUUAUGUUAAUGGAGAGGUUAUAAUUUUUAUUUAAUUGGGGUAAUUAACUUAUAAAAUCAAUUAGGUUGAAUUAAACUAUAUAAAAGAGUAUGAGAACUUAUCAAAAGUGGAAGAUUAAAUUACCUUAGGGAUAACAGUAUAAUUUAAAUUUGAAGUUCUUAUUUGAAUUUAAGAUUAUAACCUCGAUGUUGGAUUAAAAGUACUUUUAAAUGCAGAAGUUUAUAAAGUAAGUCUGUUCGACUUUUAAAAUUUUACAUGAUCUGAGUUCAAACCGGCGUAAGCCAGGUGG
This 473-nucleotide ribosomal RNA is filed under the name Zorotypus delamarei. Its description in RNAcentral is "partial 16S ribosomal RNA". It matches the Rfam family "Bacterial large subunit ribosomal RNA", at positions 1924 to 2633 of the family's 2925-position model. The record is from RNAcentral. Lineage: Eukaryota; Metazoa; Arthropoda; Insecta; Zoraptera; Zorotypidae.